AUUGAACGCUGGCGGCAUGCCUUACACAUGCAAGUCGAACGGUAACAGGUCUUCGGAUGCUGACGAGUGGCGAACGGGUGAGUAAUACAUCGGAACGUGCCCGAUCGUGGGGGAUAACGAGGCGAAAGCUUUGCUAAUACCGCAUACGAUCUACGGAUGAAAGCGGGGGAUCUUCGGACCUCGCGCGGACGGAGCGGCCGAUGGCAGAUUAGGUAGUUGGUGGGAUAAAAGCUUACCUAGCCGACGAUCUGUAGCUGGUCUGAGAGGAUGAUCAGCCACACUGGGACUGAGACACGGCCCAGACUCCUACGGGAGGCAGCAGUGGGGAAUUUUGGACAAUGGGCGAAAGCCUGAUCCAGCCAUGCCGCGUGCAGGAUGAAGGCCUUCGGGUUGUAAACUGCUUUUGUACGGAACGAAAAGCCUCUUUCUAAUAAAGAGGGGUCAUGACGGUACCGUAAUAAUAAGCACCGGCUAACUACGUG
This 482-nucleotide ribosomal RNA is filed under the name uncultured bacterium. Its description in RNAcentral is "partial 16S ribosomal RNA". It matches the Rfam family "Bacterial small subunit ribosomal RNA", at positions 30 to 507 of the family's 1533-position model. The record is from RNAcentral.